Molecule: ribosomal RNA, 253 nt
Filed under: uncultured bacterium
Lineage: Bacteria
Description: partial 16S ribosomal RNA
Rfam family: Bacterial small subunit ribosomal RNA
Source: RNAcentral
UACGUAGGGGCCUAGCGUUGUCCGGAAUUAUUGGGCGUAAAGUGUGCGCAGGCGGCAGAGCAAGUCGGGUGUGAAAGCCCCGGGCUUAACUUGGGAAUUGCGCUCGAAACUACUUUGCUGGAGUGUGGCAGAGGAAGGUGGAAUUCCACGUGUAGCGGUGAAAUGCGUAGAGAUGUGGAGGAACACCAAUGGCGAAGGCAGCCUUCUGGGCCAACACUGACGCUCAUGCACGAAAGCGUGGGGAGCAAACAGG